RNAcentral lists this microRNA precursor (109 nucleotides) under Marmota monax (woodchuck). Lineage: Eukaryota; Metazoa; Chordata; Mammalia; Rodentia; Sciuridae. The record is from RNAcentral.
AAUGGAGUAGUUGGGUCAUAUAGUUGUUCCAUUCAUUUUUUUUUUUUUUUGAGGAAUCUCCACACUGCUUUCCAAAGUGAUUGUACUAAUUUCCAGUCCUACUAACAAU